CCAAUAGCGUAUAUUAAAGUUGUUGCAGUUAAAAAGCUCGUAGUUGAACUUCGGGGUUUACUUAUUGGUCAGGCUUAAUUGUCUGCACUGGUAAGAUGAAUCUCUACCUUCUGAGGAACUUUCAUGCCAUUUAUUUGGUGUGAUUGGAAAUCAGGACUGUUACUUUGAAAAAAUUAGAGUGUUUAAAGCAGGCUAACGUCUGAAUACAUUAGCAUGGAAUAAUGAAAUAGGACGGACUGAUUCUAUUUCGUUGGUUUCUAGGAUCACCGUAAUGAUUAAUAGGGAUAGUUGGGGGCAUUAGUAUUCAAUUGGCAGAGGUGAAAUUCUUGGAUUUAUUGAAGACUAACUACUGCGAAAGCAUUUGCCAAGGAUGUUUUCAUUAAUCAAGAACGAAAGUUAGGGGAUCGAAGACGAUCAGAUACCGUCGUAGUCUUAACCAUAAACUAUGCCGACUAGGGAUCGGACGAAGUUAAUUUUAUAAUGACGCGUUCGGCACCUUACG
This 502-nucleotide unclassified non-coding RNA is filed under the name uncultured Diversispora. RNAcentral describes it as "SSU rRNA". It matches the Rfam family "Eukaryotic small subunit ribosomal RNA", at positions 591 to 1092 of the family's 1831-position model. The record is from RNAcentral. Lineage: Eukaryota; Fungi; Glomeromycota; Glomeromycetes; Diversisporales; Diversisporaceae.